This 31-nucleotide ribosomal RNA is filed under the name Sarmentypnum exannulatum. RNAcentral's name for it is "partial 18S ribosomal RNA". Lineage: Eukaryota; Viridiplantae; Streptophyta; Bryopsida; Hypnales; Amblystegiaceae. The record is from RNAcentral.
GGCGGUAGGUGAUCCUGCGGAAGGAUCAUUG